Long non-coding RNA from Corapipo altera (White-ruffed manakin), 1417 nucleotides. RefSeq lists it as uncharacterized. Lineage: Eukaryota; Metazoa; Chordata; Aves; Passeriformes; Pipridae. The transcript has 3 exons. The record is from RefSeq and is a predicted model, not a curated record.
UUCAAUUUUAGCUUCCAGUUUUCCCCGAUCUUGAGCAAGAUGAGCUCCUAGACAAAACAGGAUAUUCAUACUACAGUGCUCGUUUUACAGAUGACUUCAAGAUGUAGAAUGUAGGGAAAUGGGGUGGAGGUGAAGGAAAUAGAUAAGCUGUAUUCGCAACCAACUCCCACAACUGCUGUUACAGAUCCCAUGUGCCACAGAACAUCUGUUUUUGCACAUCAACUCUACAACUAGAUAAGAGCCAGAAACCUUGUCAUGAUUACAAACACUCUACUGGAGUGUUUAUUUGAGAGGUCCCCUGGUUCACCAGAAAUACCUCUUCCAUCUAGAGCUGUUAGCUGGGGCAACGACUGAAGAACAGUUUCUCUAUAACCUUGAGGAGAAGACCACAUGUAAAUUGAAAUCAAUCUCCCAAGAUGUCUAGUGUAUUUCAGCUACCCUGUCAUCUUAAAUGAUUCACUGCAUUUUUAAUACAAGAAAAAAAGUAGCGAGUUAUCUACAAUUGUCUCAUCUUUCCCCAUCCAUGGCAUUCAACAGAUAACAUUACAAAACUAAAUGAACUUGGAAGCUGUCUGCCUGGUCCUGGCCUACACUGGGAUUUCCCAACCAUCAUCAGCACACUGCAGUUGCACAGACAACCUUUUAAUAUCAGGCUACUGCACAAAAACAGUUGUACCAAAUGGAAGGAUAGACAAACGUAAUGGAAAGGCCAGUUCUGAAACAGCUUAGCUAACUUCUUUGUCAGUGAAUGAAAAAAGGCAUUAUGAAACUCUAAAGCAUUGAAGUUAACUUUCUUUAAAUUGAUGGAAUUUGGGCUUCUAAAGAGUGUAGUUUUUAAAGUUAGUGUCACGUAAAUACUUGCUGAAGAAAACUACUGGAAUUUUCUGAGUUAUCCAGAUAACUUUAACUGUUACUGUUUCCAUAGUGCCUGAAUGCAUUUAUAAAACAUUUGCUUUUGAAAAUAUUACUUAAAACCUAAUUUGGCUUUCCUCAAUUACCUUUGAGGUUUCUUUCUAACUGUACAUAUAUUACACCUGUAUCAGUUAUAUGCUCAUUAUAUAGCUGAUAUUUUGUAUUAUUGUAUUAUUCGUACUGUUCUACUCUUUGUAAUGAAAUUAUCUUUGAGCUCUCCCAGAAGUAUCCAUGCUCUGCUUCUACAUAUUUGCCCCUCUAUAGAUUUUCCCCUCUAAUAUACACAAAUAAAGAAAACAAAAAAACCCCCACACCAAAACAGGAUGCUACAAUUUAACUUGUUUGAAAACAGAGUGUAACAUUUAAAUGGCAGGAAAAACCUACCCCCAAAGCAAAAGCUCUAAGCAACCCAACUGAAAGUGAUACAUCCACAUGCAAUCUCCAACUCGUCUCCACGCUGCCUACUAUGUGAAACCCCUGCCUGUUAUUUUGAUACAAAUGCUAA